GGAGAGAUGGCUCAGUGGUUUAAGAGCACUGACUACUCUUCCAGAGGUCCGGAGUUCAAUUCCCAGCAACCACA
RNAcentral lists this transfer RNA (74 nucleotides) under Mus musculus (house mouse). RNAcentral describes it as "tRNA-Ser". Lineage: Eukaryota; Metazoa; Chordata; Mammalia; Rodentia; Muridae. The record is from RNAcentral.